CGCGUAGGCUGAAAUGAAAGUCAGAUGUGAAAUCCUGGGGCUCAACCUCAGAACAGCAUUUGAAACUUCAUUUCUUGAGGGUAGGCGGAGAAAACGGAAUUCCACAAGUAGCGGUGAAAUGCGUAGAUAUGUGGAAGAACACCGGUGGCGAAGGCGGUUUUCUAGCUUACUCCUGACGCUGAGGCGCGAAAGCAAGGGGAUCAAACA
Molecule: ribosomal RNA, 207 nt
Filed under: uncultured bacterium
Lineage: Bacteria
Description: partial 16S ribosomal RNA
Rfam family: Bacterial small subunit ribosomal RNA
Source: RNAcentral